UGCAGCGACGCCGCGUGAGGGAUGACGGCCUUCGGGUUGUAAACCUCUUUCAGCAGGGAAGAAGCGAAAGUGACGGUACCUGCAGAAGAAGCGCCGGCUAACUACGUGCCAGCAGCCGCGGUAAUACGUAGGGCGCAAGCGUUGUCCGGAAUUAUUGGGCGUAAAGAGCUCGUAGGCGGUUUGUCGCGUCUGCUGUGAAAACCUGAGGCUCAACCUCGGGCUUGCAGUGGGUACGGGCAGACUAGAGUGCGGUAGGGGUGACUGGAAUUCCUGGUGUAGCGGUGGAAUGCGCAGAUAUCAGGAGGAACACCGAUGGCGAAGGCAGGUCACUGGGCCGCAACUGACGCUGAGGAGCGAAAGCAUGGGGAGCGAACAGGAUUAGAUACCCUGGUAGUCCAUGCCGUAAACGUUGGGCACUAGGUGUGGGGCUCAUUCCACGAGUUCCGUGCCGCAGCAAACGCAUUAAGUGCCCCGCCUGGGGAGUACGGCCGCAAGGCUAAAACUCAAAGAAAUUGACGGGGGCCCGCACAAGCGGCGGAGCAUGCGGAUUAAUUCGAUGCAACGCGAAGAACCUUACCAAGGCUUGACAUACACCGGAAACUUCCAGAGAUGGUUGCCCCGCAGGUC
RNAcentral lists this ribosomal RNA (627 nucleotides) under Cellulomonas sp. Ri2Ps_5056. RNAcentral describes it as "bacterial SSU rRNA". It matches the Rfam family "Bacterial small subunit ribosomal RNA", at positions 387 to 1026 of the family's 1533-position model. Lineage: Bacteria; Bacillati; Actinomycetota; Actinomycetes; Micrococcales; Cellulomonadaceae. The record is from RNAcentral.